RNAcentral lists this ribosomal RNA (484 nucleotides) under uncultured bacterium. RNAcentral describes it as "partial 16S ribosomal RNA". It matches the Rfam family "Bacterial small subunit ribosomal RNA", at positions 30 to 507 of the family's 1533-position model. The record is from RNAcentral.
AUUGAACGCUGGCGGCAGGCCUAACACAUGCAAGUCGAGCGGAUGAAGGGAGCUUGCUCCUGGAUUCAGCGGCGGACGGGUGAGUAAUGCCUAGGAAUCUGCCUGGUAGUGGGGGAUAACGUCCGGAAACGGGCGCUAAUACCGCAUACGUCCUGCGGGAGAAAGUGGGGGAUCUUCGGACCUCACGCUAUCAGAUGAGCCUAGGUCGGAUUAGCUAGUUGGUGGGGUAAAGGCCUACCAAGGCGACGAUCCGUAACUGGUCUGAGAGGAUGAUCAGUCACACUGGAACUGAGACACGGUCCAGACUCCUACGGGAGGCAGCAGUGGGGAAUAUUGGACAAUGGGCGAAAGCCUGGUCCAGCCAUGCCGCGUGUGUGAAGAAGGUCUUCAGAUUGUAAAGCACUUUAAGUUGGGAGGAAGGGCAGUAAGUUAAUACCUUGCUGUUUUGACGUUACCAACAGAAUAAGCACCGGCUAACUUCGUG